UGGGGAAUAUUGCGCAAUGGGGGAAACCCUGACGCAGCAACGCCGCGUGAGUGAUGAAGGCUUUCGAGUCGUAAAACUCUGUCUUUGGGGAAGAUAAUGACGGUACCCAAGGAGGAAGCCCCGGCUAACUACGUGCCAGCAGCCGCGGUAAUACGUAGGGGGCAAGCGUUGUCCGGAAUCAAUGGGCGUAAAGGGCGCGUAGGCGGUUUGUUAAGUCAGGUGUGAAAGUUUUCAGCUUAACUGGAAAAGUGCACUUGAAACUAACUUACUUGAGUACUGGAGAGGUAAGCGGAAUUCCUAGUGUAGCGGUGAAAUGCGUAGAUAUUAGGAAGAACACCGGUGGCGAAGGCGGCUUACUGGACAGAGACUGACGCUGAGGCGCGAAAGCGUGGGGAGCGAACA
RNAcentral lists this ribosomal RNA (402 nucleotides) under uncultured prokaryote. Its description in RNAcentral is "bacterial SSU rRNA". It matches the Rfam family "Bacterial small subunit ribosomal RNA", at positions 355 to 774 of the family's 1533-position model. The record is from RNAcentral.